This 347-nucleotide ribosomal RNA is filed under the name uncultured bacterium. RNAcentral's name for it is "partial 16S ribosomal RNA". It matches the Rfam family "Bacterial small subunit ribosomal RNA", at positions 338 to 682 of the family's 1533-position model. The record is from RNAcentral.
CCUACGGGUGGCAGCAGUGAGGAAUAGUGGUCAAUGGGCGGAAGGCUGAACCAGCCAUGCCGCGUGAAGGGCAGGGCCCUAUGGGCGUUAAACUUCUUUUGUGCGGGAGCAAGAAUGGUCACGUGUGGCCAGACGAGAGUACCGUACGAAGAAGCAGCGGCUAAAUCCGUGCCAGCAGCCGCGGUAAUACGGGGGAUGCAAGCGUUCUCCGGAUUUAUUGGGUUUCAAGGGUGCGUAGGCUGUGAGGUAAGUCAGCGGUGAAAUGCCCCCGCUCAACGGGGUGAAGUGCCAGUGAUACUGCCUUGCUGGACUGCGGAUGCCGUCGGAGGACUGUGUGGUGUAGCGGU